UGUAACGACUCUGAACAACGGAUAUCUCGGCUCUCACAUCGAUGAAAAACAUAGCAAAAUGCGAUACUUUGUGUGAAUUGGAGAAUCCUAUGAACCAUCAAGUCUUUGAAUGCAAGUUAAGCAUGAAGCUUCCUGUCGAGCGCGCAUCUGUUGGAUGUCACGC
Molecule: ribosomal RNA, 163 nt
Filed under: Selenicereus undatus
Lineage: Eukaryota; Viridiplantae; Streptophyta; Magnoliopsida; Caryophyllales; Cactaceae
Description: Hylocereus undatus 5.8S ribosomal RNA
Rfam family: 5.8S ribosomal RNA
About the family: 5.8S ribosomal RNA (5.8S rRNA) is a component of the large subunit of the eukaryotic ribosome. It is transcribed by RNA polymerase I as part of the 45S precursor that also contains 18S and 28S rRNA.
Source: RNAcentral